This 420-nucleotide ribosomal RNA is filed under the name Siphonaria sp. UF 375861. RNAcentral's name for it is "partial 16S ribosomal RNA". It matches the Rfam family "Bacterial large subunit ribosomal RNA", at positions 1828 to 2597 of the family's 2925-position model. The record is from RNAcentral. RNAcentral also lists the same sequence under 2 other names. Lineage: Eukaryota; Metazoa; Mollusca; Gastropoda; Siphonariida; Siphonariidae.
AGCUUGUAGAAGUAUUAUAAGUAUCGCCUGCCCAGUGCGUAGUAAACGGCCGCAGAACUUUAACUGUGCGAAGGUAGCAUAAUUAUUUGUCUUUUAAUUGGUGACUGUAUGAAUGGCAAAACGGGGUUCAACUGUCUUAAUUAGGUUGUGUUGAAUUUGCUCAAGAGGUGAAAAUUCCUCUAUUUAUAAAAAAGACGAGAAGACCCUUAGAGUUUUGACUAAUAGGUGAAUUACCUUAUGUUUUAGUUGGGGCAACUUUGGAGAUAACCCUCCCAUACCUUACAAGAAAUGUGUUAGAAAGAAAAAACUACCUAAGGGAUAACAGCAUAAUCCAUUUUUGGGUUUGUGACCUCGAUGUUGGACUAGGAAAAUUCAUCCCCAGAAAGGGUGACCGAAAGCUCUGUUCGAGCCAACUCUCCU